This 73-nucleotide transfer RNA is filed under the name Allobates goianus (Goias rocket frog). Its description in RNAcentral is "tRNA-Asn". It matches the Rfam family "tRNA". From Rfam's summary of the family: Transfer RNA (tRNA) molecules are approximately 80 nucleotides in length. Their secondary structure includes four short double-helical elements and three loops (D, anti-codon, and T loops). Lineage: Eukaryota; Metazoa; Chordata; Amphibia; Anura; Aromobatidae. The record is from RNAcentral.
UAGAAUAAAGCUCGCUGGAUAGAGUGUUUAGCUGUUAACUAAAAUUUUACGGGAUCAAGGCCUGUUGUUCUAG